Molecule: long non-coding RNA, 1651 nt
Organism: Octopus bimaculoides (California two-spot octopus)
Lineage: Eukaryota; Metazoa; Mollusca; Cephalopoda; Octopoda; Octopodidae
Source: RefSeq, a predicted model, not a curated record
UCCUUAUCAGUUCUACUUUCAAUUCUGACAGCUAAUACCAUGACAGAGCCAAAUUAUUUUCCAAAAUUCCAAUUUUUAAAUAAACAAAAUAUAUUCAAUCGAAAAACGGUGUCAACACAUCUAUGCCCCUCACAAUAGUAUGCUCCGUGUGUUUCAAUUAUGUCCCUCGUUUUUAGAAUAAUUUUAAAGUUCGAAAAUGAAAAUAAAUCAACUAUAACAUCAAUAAUAGAAUAACAGAACACAAUGUACAUAUUGUACUCAAUGUACAUAUUGUCUGAAUUCCAACAAAAGGGAAAGUAUUUACUUCAAGAAAUGUGUAGAAACAUAAAAACGAUAAGAAGUACAUUUGAAUGACUAUAUAUACACACAUAAAAUGCAAGUGAAUAUUACACAUGUCACUGACAUGUUUUUCUUCACAAAAACCAAAAUUUGUCAUUUUUAUGGAGAAACACUCAUCUCCCUAUUUGGGCAAACGAUAAAAGUACGUGAAUCACUAGCCUUCUGUUGACCUUCAACGGCCGGAGAAAGUUCAAAAGGCCAACUUAUUCUCAUUAAUCUGUAAGUGCUGAGAGAAGAAAACAAAAAACUUUAAAUGCAUAUUUUAAAAUGCUGAUUUUUCUGCGACCAAAAAUUCUUCAGGCUGGUGCCCAAGCAUGGCCGCAGUCCAAUGACUGAAACAAGUAAAAAGAUUUUUAGAAAAUAAAAAAAACCGAGGGGGUUAUAAAAAAUUUCAAGAGAUUUGGCUGUUAUUUCAAGCAUGUGGAGAUACCGUCUAGUCUUAACUUCAUGCGCUGGUUGAAAAUCAUUUAAAAUUUUCUCGGAUUGUUACAUCCGACUAAAAAUUCUUCAAGUUGGUGCCACAGCAUAGCCGCAGUCUAAUAACUGCAACAAAUAAAAGGUGGGGGGAAAAAAUCGAAAAAUGGGGGCUUUUGUCCACUUUCACACUUUAACCAUGGGGCUUUUGUCCUACACGCCUCAUACCUACCAUUCAAUAUCAUUCUAAAAUUAAUCACAUCAUCAAAAUCUCAAGCCUAUGAGAUAAUGCAUGAUUAUUUCAAAACAAUGUGAAUAAAGAAGCAUUAUAUUUGACAGAGUAAUCUGAAUGCUAAAGAGUUAAAUGAUCAGGAUGAUCAAUGAAGAACUUCUCAUAUAGCAGCAAACAAUUUUCCUAACUCUACAGAAAAUAUUCCUGAAUACUGGUUGGUACAAGUUAAAAGACGUAAAUGAUAGACUUCAUAACGAAAAAUACGAUUUGUUUUCCAAUUUCAUAACAAAUUUACCUAGUGUGCCACAUUUGCCAGCAUUCGUUCUACGUAUUAAAGCUAAGUAAAAUACUGCUAUUUCUAUUGAAAAAGAUAUCUUUAUUAUGUGGAGCUUUUUUUCCAAACCUUAACUGGAGUUAUCCUGAAGGUUUCAAUAGCAGCCCUGCUUAAAGUUGUCAGUUUCGUUGCUUACUAUCAACACUUUGCCGAGUUGGCGUGAAAGAAACAAACUCGCCUUUCCACACUUUCAGAAUAAAAUAAUCUUGCCUGGAAAAUAUUCUAAAUCGGAACUUUAAAUUCCUGUGGCCGCCCACGAUGAUUUCACGACUUCAAAUGACAUUCAGAUUAUUUACAGUUUAGCUCUUACUUCAAAUAUGUGAAUUAUCUAC